UAAUAUUUAAUUACUAAUUGAUCUUACUUCUGGGUAGUAGGUUAAGAGUUUCUUAGCUCCUUUUAUAAAAUAAGUGAAUUGUGGUUUACUCCACAUUUUUCUUACACUGUACCUGGUAUGUGUUAAGUAAUGUUCAUGAUUCUCCAUGCAGACUCCUGUAGAUGUUCCUAUAAAAUAUAAUCUGAAUAAUAUUAAUUAUAAAGAGUAUAUACAAAUCUAAUGCUUCUCAAAGGAAUACUUCCACAUAUUAUGAAGAAACAAUACGAAUAUAAGAACAAGAAAAGGGCCAAGUAUUUUUAAAACUGGCUCUGUUAUUCCCUGACUGAAGGCAUUCUUUCCAGGACUCAGAAUGGCUAUCUUUCUGCCUCAAAGGAGAGAGUUAGGGUGAAUAAUUAAAAAAUAACCUAUCAAACCUGACCUCUUGCCACAUCAUACUUCUUAGAGAAAAGCCUUAUCUGUAACACUAGUACAUAUGUAUUAAGUGAUGAUGUGUAUUUAAAACCACAUGAGAUUCAGUGAGUACUGUGUAACCUAGAUUUUAAUGUUUCAUUAAAAACUUCCCUCUCCCUCUAUUGGAGCUGUAGCCCCUUGUAUGCAAUAAUUAAUUGCAACUUCCUAUUUUCCUUAACCCACCUGUCCUUUGGACAAAAUCUCCUUGCCUUCCUUGAAAAGUCUCUUAAAUUGAACUUUUCAUGAAAGAAUGUUCUAUAAGGAAACUGCUUAUGAGGAAAUAGAAAAUUUCUAGUUUUCUUUUGCAGAUGUAAACAUAAAAUUUCUAAUAUACUUAAUUCAAGUUUCUUUUCCAUGUUCUAUUUAUUAAUCCAUUCAUUGGCAUCUAAAUUCAUGUAUUUCUUAUUCAUUGGUUAGAAACUUUCUCAGUAUUUGUGAAAAUCUUUUCCUGGCCAGUAUUUUUGGAGUACAUCUAUUUCUUAUCCAAUCCAGCUGGAAUGUUUUUAUUUUCUUGGAAUUUUUUUUUCAAUUCCAAAACUUGCCCAUUCCAUGGAAUGAAUAAACUAUUUCAAGAUAGCCAGCCCACCCUUUUUCCUUUCCAACUCCUCAG
This 1060-nucleotide long non-coding RNA is filed under the name Marmota monax (woodchuck). The record is from RNAcentral. Lineage: Eukaryota; Metazoa; Chordata; Mammalia; Rodentia; Sciuridae.